This 1534-nucleotide long non-coding RNA is filed under the name Lathyrus oleraceus (garden pea). Its description in RNAcentral is "Pisum sativum (pea) long non-coding RNA (PSAT_LNC035341)". Lineage: Eukaryota; Viridiplantae; Streptophyta; Magnoliopsida; Fabales; Fabaceae. The record is from RNAcentral.
UAUCGCAUCACAACAUAAAACAUAUUAUUUAUUAAAAUUAAAACUCGCAGCGGACAACAAACAAAUAUUAUCAUUCAUCAUAUAACAAUUCAUAAUAAUGUUCACAUUAUUUCAACAAAACAUCUCAACAUAUUAGUCAUCAUAAACAACGUAAAUAAUAACUAUCGAAUCCCAUACCCCGGUGUCACAUGACAGAGCAUUUGACUCGACUCUGUAGAAUAACUCUACACUUAUUCUUCAAACCUCAACAAUAGCUACUCCUCUUUAUCUGCACUUGCUAUCAUAGAUGAACGUAACACAUGCAGAAGGGGUGAGAAUUACAUUAUUAAAUAAUAAUAUUAACGACAGAAUAUAAACAUAAUAUAUUUCACAUAUGACAACACCGUCAUCAUAAUCAUCAUAAUUAACAUACUUCAUGAACAUCAACAAAACAACAUAUCAAAUGCAAGCACACACCCAUGCAUGACUCAACACGACUCGGUAUACCAUUUUUGUGACCAACUACAGGAUCACCACUCCAGAUUCAUCACCAUAGAAUCCGAGUUCCCACAAGAACCAAGCUCUCAACAAGCCCGGAGUCAACAACAUCAUUGGAACUCAGUCCGUUCAUCACUAGGCAUCGGCCUUUCAUGAAUGCAUGCACACCAAACAUGCAUCAUAAUCAACUAGCAACAAGCAGUCAUCAUUAGUCAUGUUAUCAUCAUCCAUUAUAGCAUGACUUACAAAUCUCAACAAAACGAAAACAACAUACAUUAAGACUAACGAUAUCUGAGCAUCGUACAUAACACAUUUAUAAAUAAACAUCGGUAGAAUUCAACAUCUAUAUCAUCAUAAAACACCGUCGUAUACCACAAUGAUAAUCAUCUAUGUAAUUGUUAUGAUACAAUUUUACAAUGAACACAACUUACUAAAGAUCACGUCCCCAAUAGCCUCAACGUACUCAAAAAUCAUACCCACUGGUUAUAAGCUGCACAGCACAGUUCGCGCCGCCAACAUAGGGACGCGCCGCGAACUCCUCCAUUUAUUCCAGGACGCGCCGCGAACGAAGGAUCGCGUCGCGAACAAUUAAUUUCGCUUCAGUACGCGUCACGAAGCAGGGUUCGCGCCGCGAACGAUGAGUUACAGAACUCCUCUGAAUCCUGCCCAGUUCGCGCCGCGAACUGAGCUUCGCGUCGCGAAUCGCGCGCGAACAGAAGCCCUCUGCUACAGAAACCAGCGCAGCUUUGCUUCCCUACUCGCCAUAACUCAUACCCCACAGCUAACAACCCAAAAUCAACAUUUAACAGUCAUAUAUACACAACAUACUUCGAUUAUAACGCAUAUAACUCAACAAAACUCACAGAUCGGAGAAUUUCCAUCAAAACCCCAACUUUCCCAAUCUCCCUAAAAUCCCCAAAAUUCAUCAAUAAUCCAACAUAUAUCAUGAAUUUGCUCGCAUAUUAUCGUUUAAUAAGGUUCAGACCCCUUACCUCUUUGGAUUGAAGGAAGCUCUGAGCACUCUUUGGCCUUUUCCUCUUCCUUCUCUUUCUCUUCA